Molecule: transfer RNA, 66 nt
Filed under: Anaphothrips obscurus
Lineage: Eukaryota; Metazoa; Arthropoda; Insecta; Thysanoptera; Thripidae
Description: tRNA-Pro
Source: RNAcentral
UUCAGAAAAAGGAUUUUCCUAUUUUAAAGUUCCAAACUUUAAAUUUUUUUUUAAAUUAUUUUCUGA